AUGGGAGCUGUCACCCAGCAUAUGAUGCUGCCUCUGCUGUUUACCAAGGAUGGGGAGAGAUUGAUGGUCACCCCAGUUAAUAUCCUAUUUACAGCGGGCAUCUGUCAGCCUCCCUUUAUGGGUCAUGCCCCUCUCCCAAACUGAGACGCACCGCGCUGCUCCUCUACCCAUCAGCCCAUACAAAUGCUGACCCAACGACCCUGCUGAGGACACACUCUGACCUGGCCACAGCUGGAUCCGCCAGAAGUUCCCUUCUUCAUCAGAAAGAACUCCUCUGCAAAGGUCAGCAGCUGCCCUUGGGUUCCCGUGUCGCCGUCAUGCAGGGAGAGAAGGACAUGUCAGGAACCAGUUCUGCAACACAGUGUUGAUACCCUUCACAUUCAAUGCAGGAGGAAACGUUUGAGCGACAUUGAGGGAACUCUCAUCAUAAAUCUGCCCAAAAACAGAACAAAGGGAA
Salmo salar (Atlantic salmon) is the source of this 457-nucleotide non-coding RNA. The record is from RefSeq and is a predicted model, not a curated record. Lineage: Eukaryota; Metazoa; Chordata; Actinopteri; Salmoniformes; Salmonidae.